GGAAUGUGGCUCAGUGGUAGAGCAUUUACCUCAUACAUAUAAGGCACUGGGUUCGAUCCUAAGCACCA
Molecule: transfer RNA, 68 nt
Filed under: Marmota monax (woodchuck)
Lineage: Eukaryota; Metazoa; Chordata; Mammalia; Rodentia; Sciuridae
Description: tRNA.Met
Source: RNAcentral